RNAcentral lists this ribosomal RNA (765 nucleotides) under uncultured Acidobacteriota bacterium. RNAcentral's name for it is "bacterial SSU rRNA". It matches the Rfam family "Bacterial small subunit ribosomal RNA", at positions 67 to 850 of the family's 1533-position model. Lineage: Bacteria; Pseudomonadati; Acidobacteriota. The record is from RNAcentral.
CGAAAGCCCGCAAGGGUAAGUAGAGUGGCGCACGGGUGAGUAACACGUGGACAACCUGCCUUCGAGUGGGGAAUAACCUUCCGAAAGGAGGGCUAAUACCGCAUAACACUUCGGGACGCAAGUUCUGGGGUUGAAAAGAGCAAUUUGCUCGAAGAGGGGUCCGCGCCUGAUUAGCUAGUUGGUGAGGUAACGGCUCACCAAGGCUUCGAUCAGUAGCCGUCCUGAGAGGGAGCACGGCCACACUGGAACUGAGACACGGUCCAGACUCCUACGGGAGGCAGCAGUGGGGAAUUUUUGGCAAUGGGCGAAAGCCUGACCAAGCAACGCCGCGUGGGUGAUGAAGUAUCUUGGUACGUAAAACCCUUUCGGCAGGGACGAAAAAAAUGACGGUACCUGCGGAAGAAGCCCCGGCUAACUCCGUGCCAGCAGCCGCGGUAAUACGGGGGGGGCAAGCGUUGUUCGGAAUUACUGGGCGUAAAGGGCGCGUAGGCGGUUGGAUAAGUCAGCUGUGAAAACCACGGGCUUAACUUGUGGCCUGCAGUUGAGACUGUCUGGCUUGAGUGUGGGAGAGGAGAGUGGAAUUCCUGGUGUAGCGGUGAAAUGCGUAGAUAUCAGGAGGAACACCGGUGGCGAAGGCGGCUCUCUGGACCACAACUGACGCUGAGGCGCGAAAGCUAGGGGAGUAAACAGGAUUAGAUACCCUGGUAGUCCACGCCCUAAACGAUGUCGACUGGUUGUUGGGGGUUUGACACUCUCAGUAACGAA